CGAGCCGGUGCGCUAUGGCAGCGAGCCGUUGGCCGGCGGCUGGCGCCGGUUCAUUGCCGGCCUGCUCGGC
RNAcentral lists this transfer RNA (70 nucleotides) under Variovorax sp. RA8. RNAcentral describes it as "tRNA-???(ggcc)". The record is from RNAcentral. Lineage: Bacteria; Pseudomonadati; Pseudomonadota; Betaproteobacteria; Burkholderiales; Comamonadaceae.